Molecule: long non-coding RNA, 279 nt
Filed under: Elaeis guineensis (African oil palm)
Lineage: Eukaryota; Viridiplantae; Streptophyta; Magnoliopsida; Arecales; Arecaceae
Description: long non-coding RNA (EGUI_LNC078498)
Source: RNAcentral
UCCGGUAAGACCCUCCGAUGCUCAAGUCAGUACUCUGCUUCAAUAGAAAUAGAGUGCUCGAGUGAGAAUUUUAGCAGAAUUUUGAGAUAGAGUUUUUGAGCUUAGAGAAGAACAUAUCUGGGGGUCCCUUUUUAUAGAUGGAGUGCGUGACUAAUUGAUAGUGACAUCUGUAACCACCUGGUAGUGGGCUAUUCAGAGCCACCCAGAGUUUGUUACAGAGAGUAGUGGCAUCAGAGGUCGUUCAGAACGACGUGGAGUUUGUUACGGAGAGUAGAGUGG